GAUGAACGCUGGCGGCGUGCCUAAUACAUGCAAGUCGAGCGAACAGACGAGGAUCUUGCUCCUCUGACGUUAGCGGCGGACGGGUGAGUAACACGUGGAUAACCUACCUAUAAGACUGGGAUAACUUCGGGAAACCGGAGCUAAUACCGGAUAAUAUAGUGAACCGCAUGGUUCUGUAGUGAAAGACGGUUUUGCUGUCAAUUCUAGAUGGAUCCGCGCCGCAUUAGCUAGUUGGUAAGGUAACGGCUUACCAAGGCGACGAUGCGUAGCCGACCUGAGAGGGUGAUCGGCCACACUGGAACUGAGACACGGUCCAGACUCCUACGGGAGGCAGCAGUAGGGACUCUUCCGCAAUGGGCGAAAGCCUGACGGAGCAAUGGCGCGUGAGUGAUGCAGGUCUUCGGAUCGUAAAACUCUGUUAUUAGGGAAGACCAAAUGUGUAAGUAACUAUGCACGUCUUGACGGUACCUAAUCAGAAAGCCACGGCUAACUACGUG
Molecule: ribosomal RNA, 497 nt
Filed under: uncultured bacterium
Lineage: Bacteria
Description: partial 16S ribosomal RNA
Rfam family: Bacterial small subunit ribosomal RNA
Source: RNAcentral